CACGUGGGAGGCGAGCGUUGUCCGGAUUCAUUGGGCGUAAAGAGCGCGCAGGCGGUCCUUUAAGUCUGAUGUGAAAGCCCACGGCUCAACCGUGGAGGGUCAUUGGAAACUGGGGGACUUGAGUACAGAAGAGAAGAGUGGAAUUCCACGUGUAGCGGUGAAAUGCGUAGAGAUGUGGAGGAACACCAGUGGCGAAGGCGACUCUUUGGUCUGUAACUGACGCUGAGGCGCGAAAGCGUGGGGAGCAAACAGG
This 253-nucleotide ribosomal RNA is filed under the name uncultured bacterium. RNAcentral describes it as "partial 16S ribosomal RNA". It matches the Rfam family "Bacterial small subunit ribosomal RNA", at positions 524 to 776 of the family's 1533-position model. The record is from RNAcentral.